Molecule: non-coding RNA, 45 nt
Filed under: Schistosoma haematobium
Lineage: Eukaryota; Metazoa; Platyhelminthes; Trematoda; Strigeidida; Schistosomatidae
Source: RNAcentral
AUCCAGCUGAUGAGUCCUAAAUAGGACGAAACGCGCAUUCUGGAU